Molecule: long non-coding RNA, 278 nt
Filed under: Lathyrus oleraceus (garden pea)
Lineage: Eukaryota; Viridiplantae; Streptophyta; Magnoliopsida; Fabales; Fabaceae
Description: Pisum sativum (pea) long non-coding RNA (PSAT_LNC038355)
Source: RNAcentral
AAUGUGGGGUUGGUAUGAUUAUGAAUUUUUCUCCUAACUUUGGCGUGGAGAGAGAAAGAAAAAAAUGUUUUUAUUUUUGAAAUAUGCAGUUAUCAUAUAUAGUGGUGUUGGAGGAAGUUAUUUAGUAUAGUUGAUGUGUUGGAGGAAGUUAUUUGAUGUGUUCAUGGAGGUUACAUAUUUAAUAAAUGAGUUUUUUUUUGUAUUUUUUUUUAAUUUAAUAAUUGAUAGUAAUUGUAACAAUUGUUAAAGGAUAAAAUUGGAAGAAAAAAAAAGGUCAU